RNAcentral lists this ribosomal RNA (520 nucleotides) under uncultured Diversispora. Its description in RNAcentral is "SSU rRNA". It matches the Rfam family "Eukaryotic small subunit ribosomal RNA", at positions 569 to 1086 of the family's 1831-position model. Lineage: Eukaryota; Fungi; Glomeromycota; Glomeromycetes; Diversisporales; Diversisporaceae. The record is from RNAcentral.
AGCAGCCGCGGUAAUUCCAGCUCCAAUAGCGUAUAUUAAAGUUGUUGCAGUUAAAAAGCUCGUAGUUGAACUUCGGAAUUUGUUCAUUGGUCAGGCUUAACUGUCUGUACUGGUGUUACGAAUUUCUACCUUCUGAGGAAUCCUCAUGCCAUUAAUUUGGUGCGGGGGGAAUCAGGACUGUUACUUUGAAAAAUUAGAGUGUUUAAAGCAGGCUAACGUCUGAAUACAUUAGCAUGGAAUAAUAAAAUAGGACGGUUUGGUUCCAUUUUGUUGGUUUCUAGGAUCACCGUAAUGAUUAAUAGGGAUAGUUGGGGGCAUUAGUAUUCAAUUGUCAGAGGUGAAAUUCUUGGAUUUAUUGAAGACUAACUACUGCGAAAGCAUUUGCCAAGGAUGUUUUCAUUAAUCAAGAACGAAAGUUAGGGGAUCGAAGAUGAUCAGAUACCGUCGUAGUCUUAACCAUAAACUAUGCCGACUAGGGAUCGGAUGAUGUUAAAUUUUUUUUAAUGUACUCAUUCGGCGC